UACGGGGGGAGCAAGCGUUGUUCGGAUUUACUGGGCUUAAAGCGCACGUAGGCGGCGCCGCAAGUGCGGGGUGAAAUCCCACGGCUUACCCGUGGAACUGCCUUGCAGACUGUGGUGCUAGAGGAUGGUAGGGGAGAGCGGAACUCCUGGUGGAGCGGUGAAAUGCGUAGAUAUCAGGAGGAACACCGGUGGCGAAGGCGGCUCUCUGGUCCAUGACUGACGCUGAGGUGCGAAAGCUAGGGGAGCAAACGGG
Molecule: ribosomal RNA, 253 nt
Filed under: uncultured bacterium
Lineage: Bacteria
Description: partial 16S ribosomal RNA
Rfam family: Bacterial small subunit ribosomal RNA
Source: RNAcentral